AGAGAUGCACCACUGCUCAGUGGCAGAACAUCGGCUUUGUGUGCAGAAGGUCCCGGGUUCAAACCUCGUCAUCUCCA
This is a non-coding RNA of Podarcis lilfordi (Lilford's wall lizard), 77 nucleotides long. Lineage: Eukaryota; Metazoa; Chordata; Lepidosauria; Squamata; Lacertidae. The record is from the annotation of a GenBank genome assembly.